AUUGAACGCUGGCGGCAUGCCUUACACAUGCAAGUCGAACGGUAACAGGUCUUCGGAUGCUGACGAGUGGCGAACGGGUGAGUAAUACAUCGGAACGUGCCUAGUAGUGGGGGAUAACUACUCGAAAGAGUGGCUAAUACCGCAUGAGGUCUACGGAUGAAAGCAGGGGAUCGCAAGACCUUGUGCUACUAGAGCGGCCGAUGGCAGAUUAGGUAGUUGGUGGGAUAAAAGCUUACCAAGCCGACGAUCUGUAGCUGGUCUGAGAGGACGAUCAGCCACACUGGGACUGAGACACGGCCCAGACUCCUACGGGAGGCAGCAGUGGGGAAUUUUGGACAAUGGGCGCAUGCCUGAUCCAGCAAUGCCGCGUGCAGGAUGAAGGCCUUCGGGUUGUAAACUGCUUUUGUACGGAACGAAAAGCCCCGGGUUAAUACCCUGGGGUCAUGACGGUACCGUAAGAAUAAGCACCGGCUAACUACGUGCCAGCCGCCGCGGUAA
RNAcentral lists this ribosomal RNA (498 nucleotides) under uncultured bacterium. Its description in RNAcentral is "partial 16S ribosomal RNA". It matches the Rfam family "Bacterial small subunit ribosomal RNA", at positions 30 to 523 of the family's 1533-position model. The record is from RNAcentral.